RNAcentral lists this ribosomal RNA (460 nucleotides) under uncultured bacterium. Its description in RNAcentral is "partial 16S ribosomal RNA". It matches the Rfam family "Bacterial small subunit ribosomal RNA", at positions 338 to 795 of the family's 1533-position model. The record is from RNAcentral.
CCUACGGGAGGCAGCAGUGAGGAAUAUUGGUCAAUGGACGCAAGUCUGAACCAGCCAUGCCGCGUGCAGGAAGACGGCCCUAUGAGUUGUAAACUGCUUUUGUACGAGGGUAAACGCAGAUACGCGUAUCUUUCUGAAAGUAUCGUACGAAUAAGGAUCGGCUAACUCCGUGCCAGCAGCCGCGGCAAUACGGAGGGUUCAAGCGUUAUCCGGAUUUAUUGGGUUUAAAGGGUGCGUAGGCGGGCGGAUAAGUUAGAUGUGAAAUCCCGAGGCUCAACUUCGGAAUUGCCUCUGAUACUGUUAGGCUAGAGAGUAGUUGCGGUAGGCGGAAUGUAAGGUGUAGCGGUGAAAUGCGUAGAGAUCAUACAGAACACCGAUUGCGAAGGCAGCUUACCAAGCUACGUCUGACGUUGAGGCACGAAAGCGUGGGGAGCAAACAGGAUUAGAUACCCCAGUAGUC